UUGACUUGUUUAUAACGUGGGGAAAUAUAACCUGCAUUGUGUAUUUGUACAUGAUAACAAUAAAAGAGGCUAAUUAAUGGCUGAGUUGAAACUUAGUUAGUGAAAGUAUAUGAUUUGUCUACGCUACAUGAAGUUUUAUUUACUAUCACUGAAGGCUAAUGUUAAAAGGCCUCUCUAAUAGAUAUAUAGGAGCAAGCUCACAAUUAAUAAUUUACUAUUAUCGAUAUACCAAUGGCGAUUUUAAAUUUGUUGAUUUUGUGGUAAAUAUAUUAUCAAUGACCAUGAAAACUAAAUAACGUGGUUAAACUUUUAAUUAUGCCGAUAAAAAAAUAAUUACAUAUUUAUAUAUAACUAUUUAUAUAUAUGUUUGUAUUAACACUUUGACUAUAAUAAACUGUACAACUUUUUCAAAAAAAAAAAAAAACUGUACAACUUAAAGUAUAUUUUACUUUUAAAUCUUCACCCUGGAAAAAUGUUACACGUUACAAUCACUAAAAAGUCAAUACUAUUAUUAAAAAAAAAAGAGUCAAUACUCUAGUUUAAUAAUCUUAUUUGAGAAAAUAUGUGAUUAAAAACAAUUUGAUACAUAAUUCAGCGACGCAUUACUUAUGUGGAUGUACAAUACUCUCAUUCUAGAAGCGUAUAACACAAACAGUCAAUAACGUGUCGUGCAACAAAUUAAGUCGUUAUUAAUUUCACCAAGUGGUUUGCAUAAACUUAUUAAUGGAAUUAAGUAUGGUUAAUAAGCGCAUGCAUAUGCGAUGAAUAUAAUUAUAGCACGGAUUUGAGAUGAGAAUAGUCCGAAUAUUAUAUAAAAGAUAAAAAUUGGAAUAUUAACUUGAAAGAGAAUUGAAAACCUUAUUUAAGAAUGAAAGUUCUUGGUAGUUAUUUGGAAUAUGUAAAAACUAGUUGGAUAAAAAAAUUAAAUUGAAUUGAUUUUGAACUAUUCUAACCGGUUGAUUUUAUAUCAAAAUAGUCAAAUUAAUUCAAAAGAUUAAAAAAAUUAAUUUUAAAAUAAACUAUUUAGUAAUCGAUUUUAAACUAGUUUUAAAAAGUUAAACUAGUUUCAUUAUAGAUCUAAAUAGUUAAUUAGAAUAUAACUGGAACGUGUAUAGGAGGGACAAUAGUGGAAUUUGGAAAUGGGGGUCUAGAAGGAAAGUGUUGCGUCCAGAAGAUGUUGUGAUGAGAUUGAGAGGGUGAGACAGGACCACUUGGGUUUGUUCUGUUCAGUGUGUGUUUUUUUCUGUUAGAUUCAGUUUCGUGGUCAGCGAGGUUGGUGGACACGUGGUCUUCACUGACGGCUUAUAUUACUACUGCAUUGCCUUCAACUCAAUUCAAUGAGUCUUCUACAUCGUUCCACGUGCGUGCGAUUGCAAUGCCCACUACUCACCUCCGCACUCUAACUUCCGUAACUAGCUAGCUGCCAGCUCAGAAUUUUAAUUUCCCAUUCUUACUAGUCCAAAUACAAAAUUAGACGUUUUAUGAGAAAAUAAAACAUUAGGAGUUCUUCGUCAAAUUAAAAACUCUCUCCUCAUUCGUUUCACUUAUAUAUAGAUUUCACCAUCAGUGUACUUUUUUCCCACAUAUAUACGUACUUUAGACUAGGUCCUUAGUUUGGUACACAAUUGAAAAGAAGUAGUAAUUAACUGCAAUGCGUAUAAUUAACAAGUAAUGAUUCAAAUUGUUUUAUUGUUUUAGUAUUAUUGAAAAUAUUAUUAAUUAUGUGUCUCUUGCUUGCCUUAAUUACAAAAACGUGCAAGGCAUACACAAGGGUGUGUGAGACGGUGGACAUUGCACUUGGCACUCACGCUACGCAUGCUCUUAUUAUUAUUAGUCGAAGAAGAUGGUGACUGUUGUGUUGAAUGUUCCACCACUCUUGAAUUUGUGCAAGUGUAAACUAGUUCCCAGUAAGAGACAAAUUUAGUAAUUGACAAAUCAUGUUCCUAUUUGAUUUUUCAAGGUUACUUCUUCUUUAGUAACAGCCUGUUUCAUUUUUUCUCAUUCUAUUGCCAGACUGGUCCCAGUGUUUAUCGAGCAGAAAGAAAAUUUGUAUUAUGCAAGUUUAUUUCUAAAAUGCAGAAGUAAUCAUGCAUGUAUGAUUAAUGUUUUUGGUGAUUAUUUAUUAUUACAUUUUAGUAAAUUAAAUUUAUGAUCAUGUGUAUAGUUUAGAGUUUAAAGGAUAAUACCAGAAUUUUGAAAUUAUCAUGAUAUCUCUCUCAUUCUAAUUGACACCAAUUCAGUUAUAUUCAUUUUCAUUAUUUUUUAAGCAAUUCAUUUUCAUCAUUAAAGUAUAUAUGUAACUAUGUAUUAUAUAUACUUUUCAUCUAUUUAUAAACUUAUUAAAUUAUUUUUCUAAACAUACACGCUAUAUCAAAUUAGUCAUUUAAUUUUACUUUUUGUUAUUAAAUUAUUCCUUAACAUAACAUUAAUUAAAUGAGUCUUUAAGAAAUAUAACUAGUUAUAUAUAUUAAUUGUUAUUGGAUGAUCUGUCAUGCAAAAAUACAUUAUCUAUCUGUCUAUUUCUAUGUACAGUUCUGAAUUCAGUUCUUUUACUAUGAUUUUUACAUGAAACUUUUUCUUUUGUCUUUUUUAAUUUAUUUAUUAUUCACUAACGUUUUCAUUGUUUUGUUUUUUAUAUGUUGUAUUUCUUUUUUUUUUGUAAUUUUUUUAUUUUGUCCUCAAUAUUUCAAACAAAUAACGAUAAUAGUUACUAAAGAAUAGUGGUUCGAAAUGAAUAUUUUCCUAAAUUAAAAUGUGAAACUUUUAUAAAAUAAUUUAAUAUUUAUGAAUGGAUCGACGAGAGGAGGAAAAAAUGUAUAGUUUCCUUCAUGUGAGGUUAAAACUUUCAAAUGUAUCAUUGGGUUUGAUAUUUCUUAUAUUGACUUUGAAUAUUAGAAUCAAUUUAGAACUCGUAUUAUAUUAGUGGUAAAUAUAAUUUAUUUUGUUGAUAAAUUACUUUUAUAAAUGAUUACCAACACGUGAAAAAAUAUAAUAUUUACAAAUGAAUAUUAUAAUUACAGACUUAAAGUUGAAUUUUUUUAGAUUAAAUUAUUAAUUUAGGUCUUCUAAUAUCAUUAAUUUAGCCUUCUGAACAUUAUGUAAUAUUUGAGCAUGGGAAGUCAUAAAAAUUAUCCUUAUUUUGAUGCAUGUUAUAUUGUUGGAUUAACGUGGUCCAAGAUGGAAAUGGCUUGUUAAUGCAGCCCAUUUUCCUUUCUUUCAUUGCCUAACGGCUAAAAAGACUUGGGCUCAGGGCCUACCCUCUUUUUCUGUUAGGUCAGGUGCACUACUAAAUUGAAUAAACCGUGAAAAAAGAUUAUUUUUUUUUGUCAAAUGUCUAAAAGGUAAAUGUAUAACAUUACGAAUUUAUUUGGAUAAUUUUUCAAUAAUUACUCAUUGUAAAAUAAAAUAAGAAUAAAAAGUAAAACAAUUUUUUCAUAAAUUAAAAUCAAGUUAAAAUAAUCUUUUAGAAAAACUAAUUGAGAGUGUUCCUACAAAUUAAUUUAUAUAUAAACUAAAUUCAACUAAUUGAGGGUGUUCCUAUAAAUUAAUUUAUACGUAAACUAAAUUUAACUAAUUGAGAGUGUUCUUGCACUCUCAUGUUGCUUCCUGCACUCUUUCUAAAAUAUUUUCUUAAAAAUUUUAUUCAAACAAAACCUACCUUACUAUUGUCAACAUGGGAAAUGGACCAAAACAUCUGUACUUGGACAUUUCUUUUAUUGGGACCUGGACUUCAUAGGUUAUUGGAGGUCCAAAAACUUGGACCCCUUGAUGUAUAUCUGUUUGGGGCAAAAGUUUGGAGGCUAUUGCUUCUUGCACUUCUCAUCUCAUGUUACUUCUGCAUUUCUUUUCUCUUUCUAGAAUGUCCGUUUUAGAAUGUAAAAUUACCUUCCAUAAUGCCACUCAUUUUUUGGCUUUCAGGAUAACCAUUUCGGAAGAUUAAAAAACAUUUUGGAAAGAGUGUAGAAAGCAAAAGCCAAGUUUGAGGUUGGCAAUUGGAUUUUCACUUGAUGGUUACAUGUAAAAGUUAUCCACCAAAAGGAGAAUUAUUUACUAAAUAAGAAUAUAAGCAUCAAUAUUUGUUUGUAAUUUUUUAAAGAAUGAUCCGUUGGUCCAAAUAUUUUAAUACCCACCAUAUUUUAUAGUCACAUUUAUUAUUAAAUAUAUUAAAUUUUAAAUGAAAAUAUAUUAUAUAAUAAUAUAUUUUUAAAAUGACAAAUGUUUGAGAGUAUAAACAUGCGACUUUUAUUUACUAUAUGUUUCAUAAGUUUUGUUUUCCUUUUUGUCAAAAUAUUAUGUUUUAUAUUUUUCUUACUUUCUUAUGUUAGACUUAAAUGUAGACAAGUUAUAUUCUAUUUGUUAUGUUUUCUAUGUUAAAUGAUAAGAUGUUAUAUUUUUAAUUAAUAUUAUUUGUGUGAUUAUUUUUAUAAUUAAUUUUAAUAUUAAAACACUUUUAUUUUAUUUUAUUAGUUAGUAAAAAAUAAAAACGUUAAAAAUAUAUUUUAUAUGAUUAAAGUUAGAGUUGUGAGUUUAUAUAAAUAUAUAUAUUUUAAAAUGUUUCUUUUUUAAAAUAAGAAUAUGAGAACAAAUACUUAUCAUUUUUCAUAUAGCUUACAGAAAAUGCAUUUGCCCAUUUCCGACAUGCUUCUGUUAACUUUUAGCCCCAAAAUACAAAAUUUGGUUUGUGCAAAGUUAGAAUUCAAAACAAGUAAAAAUAUAGAAGCGUGUUUUCUAGUGGGUUGGUUAUAAUCUGGACCUAGUCUCCCUCGUGGUCCAUGCACAACAUAGUUUCACACUUUCACUUGACUUUAUUUUGCUGUACAAAACCAUAAGUGGAAUGGUUUCUUUUGUAUUGAAAGAGUUAUUUGCUAAUUAAAUAAAAUAAAAAACUAUAGAAAGUAAUUUUAAUUUUUUAAAAGAUAGAAAGCAAUUUUAAAAAAUAUAGGGAAGCAUUAUUAGAUCUUUUUGAGUUUAUCUUCUUUGCAUGAUUUAUCUCACUGCAGGGAACUUUUAUUAUGUUCAAGAUGCCUAGCUAUUGGAUCAUAAUUUUAUCACGUCUGAUAGAUGUACUUGAAUUGAUUCUUUGAUGACAAGUUAUAUGAUGCCUUGCUCAAAUCAUCUAUUUUAACGUACCAUUUUUAUUUUAUUUUAUUUAUCUAUUUUAGGAUGGUCUUGGUGCUGGAGGAAUAACAAGGUAAUGGACUAAUGGGAAACUGGGAAAGAAAGCUUGUUACCAAAAGCAUAUAUACGAAUUUUUACUACAGAAUCUUGAGUUUUGGGGCCUUCCCAUCGAAUAUGUUGUAAGCUGAAGAAGCAGUUAGGAGAAUUGGGUGAAACUUGAUUUUAACGUUGAUGGUUGUUGGAAACCAAAUCUUGAUAGUAUGAGAGCAGGCAAUGCUAUCAAAGAUUAAUUGUCAAGGAACAUGGCUUAUUAAUUGGCUCUGAUGGCCAAGGAGAUGAAGCUUCAUUUGAACUUACUAUUGUUCAUAUUGCUCUUAAAUUGGCUUGACACUAGGUGGAUUGUAAAUUAAUUAGAUGCUUAAUUUGGAUGUCAUUUAUAUAAGAAAUGCCCACCCUUUUUACAUCUAUCCAAAAUACUCAGUAAAAUUAGAUCUAUUUUACAAAUGGAAUGUGAAGUUUGUAAAAUGAUACGUGUUUUAUUGCAGAACUAUAAGUUGUAUGUUCUGGAUGUGAGUCUUAUGAUUUUUGUGAGGGUUGAUUACCUCUUGUACCCUUUAUCCUCUUUAUAAAUGCAUUCUCUUUGCUGAUAAAAAAAAUUGUAUUUCCAGAUCGAUCCGACUUAUAAAUUCGAGUUCACUCAUUGCAGGUUGAUGAAAAUAUAAAAGGAACAUCGGUUUAAAUUAGACACACCUACAUGGUCGAUUUUCUUAGUACUUUGUAAUUUCUUCACUUUUCUUUAUUUUCAUUCGCCCACUGUGCAAAGAAAUGCACGUAUACAUUAAGAACAUUUUUGUGCUCUAUAUUGAUUCCAUUGUGAUGCCUAUACAUUGACAUCUUUAUUAAGUGAUUUAAAGAAAAUUAUAUGCAAAUAUCGCUAUAUGAAAUAGAACUUCGCUCAACUAGCCGUAUCUAAAAUCAUACCUCCAUAAAAGAAUUAUAUUUGAAAAUACAAAUUAACAUAUUUAAAAUCAAAUUAUCACCACAAUAUAUAUUUAAAUUCAAGAUUUUGUUUAAGAAAAUCAAAUUCAACAUCAUUUCCGACGAACGAUUAUUGAUAUCUAAAUGUGUUUUACUUUUAGCUUCAUGAAUUGAGUUGAGUAUAAUAUGCUGAUAGAAAAAAGUUGAGGGUACAAAAUACUAAACUUGCAAUUUAUAGGAGUAUAGUUGUGAUUUUAUUUUUGAGCAAAUAGUUACUUAGGACGACCACUUUUCAAAAAAGAAAAGUAAGGCACUUACCCGAAUGAUGCGUGCACCGUGCACAAGACCCAUGCAUGCCUUUUUCAUUAUCUCUUGCUUCCCAACCAAGCGAGACGUAAAGGCUACGUAGAACCAAACCAACCCUUCUUCCUUCAUUUCUCACACAAUAUUUUAACUAACGCUUCAACGCACGACAAUGGCAACUGUUUUGAUGUCAAGCUACAAGAACCAAUAUUGGUUUAAAGUGGCAUGCCUUGCUAUAUAUAUGCUACUUUUGGAAGUUAAUGUUUGUUUUAAUUAGUUA
Molecule: long non-coding RNA, 6679 nt
Filed under: Glycine max (soybean)
Lineage: Eukaryota; Viridiplantae; Streptophyta; Magnoliopsida; Fabales; Fabaceae
Description: long non-coding RNA (GMAX_LNC001404)
Source: RNAcentral